RNAcentral lists this ribosomal RNA (119 nucleotides) under Ipomoea nil (Japanese morning glory). The record is from RNAcentral. Lineage: Eukaryota; Viridiplantae; Streptophyta; Magnoliopsida; Solanales; Convolvulaceae.
GGAUGCGAUCAUACCAGCACUAAUGCACCGGAUCCCAUCAGAACUCCGAAGUGAAACGUGAUUGGGCGAGGGUAGUACUAGGAUGGGUGACCCCCUGGGAAGUCCUCGUGUUGCAUCCC